RNAcentral lists this long non-coding RNA (474 nucleotides) under Homo sapiens (human). RNAcentral describes it as "HSALNT0320164". Lineage: Eukaryota; Metazoa; Chordata; Mammalia; Primates; Hominidae. The record is from RNAcentral.
UAUUUUGGCCAGGAGCUGAAGUUGGUUGUUUAGUAGUAGUAGUUUGAGUAGUGACCGAAGUAGUAGUCUGGUGUGUGGGUGCAAGAGUAGUUGGGGAAGAAUUAGGUGUGGUAAUUGGGGCAGCUGUGGUCUCUUGUGGAGCUGGGGAAGACGGUGGAGCUGGUGUAGUUGCAGAAGGUGUGGGUGGGGCAGCUGUGGUCUCUGGUGGAGCUGAGGAAGAUGGUGGAGCUUGUGUAGUUGCAGAAGGUGUGGGUGGGGCAGCUGUGGUGUCUUGUGGAGCUGGGGAAUUCACUGGUGCUAAUGUAGCUACAGAAGAGCUUGUGUUAACAUUUUCUCUUGAAGAUAUGGUGGUGGCAUUCUGGGGAAGAAAAGUCACAUUUGGAAGGGUAGUAAUUUUGGUGGCUGGUGAGGAUUUGGGAAUUUGGGGGGGUUAUUAGGUGAAGGUGGAAGCUUAGGCCUACAGCGUUUGUGCAG